GUUGGUGCCAUGGUCCCCGGGCCUCGGGGUGAAGGUGAGCACUGUGGAGCUGAGGUUCUGGGGGUCCAGUGAGUCCACAGCGACUCCCUCCCAGGAGAAGGGCCCAAGGCCUGGACAGGGAGUGACCCAGUGUCCUGUCUUGUUCCAAGAACAAGUUCCACAUCUCAGACUUCUCUCCGGGGCCCUGCCUUACCUGUCACCUGCAAAUUCAGCAUCUUCUCUUUUACCAAUAGGUGUAGAAUUUGCUAGAGGAAGACCAUGAACUCCAGGGGUAGGAGAAGGAGCAGGGCACGUGGAUGCACAGACCCUCCUGCACCGUCAUGGAUUCCUGCACUUGGAGCUCAAAGCCUGACUGCUGCUGCAGCGACCCUGAGAGAGGGAGACAGAGGCUCAGAUGCAGCCCCAUCCCUCUCCCACUUCCUCAUCCCCCGUCCCUUGGCCCACUCACCCCCCCACAGCAGGGGCAGCAGCAACAGGGGCACCAUGUCUGCCUCUCUCAUCAUAGAGUAGGUCCAGG
Myotis myotis is the source of this 517-nucleotide long non-coding RNA. RefSeq lists it as uncharacterized. The record is from RefSeq and is a predicted model, not a curated record. The transcript has 3 exons. Lineage: Eukaryota; Metazoa; Chordata; Mammalia; Chiroptera; Vespertilionidae.